CCUACGGGAGGCAGCAGUGGGGAAUCUUGCGCAAUGGGCGAAAGCCUGACGCAGCAACGCCGCGUGCGGGAAGAAGGCUCUCGGGUUGUAAACCGCUUUCAGCAGGAACGAAAAUGACGGUACUUGCAGAAGAAGGUGCGGCCAACUACGUGCCAGCAGCCGCGGUGACACGUAGGCACCAAGCGUUGUCCGGAUUUAUUGGGCGUAAAGAGCUCGUAGGCGGUUCGGUAAGUCGGGUGUGAAAACUUUGGGCUUAACCCAAAGCCUGCAUCCGAUACUGCUGUGACUAGAGUUCGGUAGGGGAGCGGGGAAUUCCUAGUGUAGCGGUGAAAUGCGCAGAUAUUAGGAGGAACACCGGUGGCGAAGGCGCCGCUCUGGGCCGAUACUGACGCUGAGGAGCGAAAGCGUGGGUAGCAAACAGGAUUAGAUACCCUGGUAGUCCACGCCGUAAACGUUGGGCACUAGGUGUGGGUUUCAACCAACGAAAUCCGCGCCGUCGCUAACGCAUUAAGUGCCCCGCCUGGGGAGUACGGCCGCAAGGUUAAACUCAAAGGAAUUGACGG
This 563-nucleotide ribosomal RNA is filed under the name uncultured bacterium. RNAcentral's name for it is "bacterial SSU rRNA". It matches the Rfam family "Bacterial small subunit ribosomal RNA", at positions 338 to 916 of the family's 1533-position model. The record is from RNAcentral.